CUAAAAUUUGUUCCGAAUUGGGUCGAAGUUAUCGUCAUUGGUUUCUAUAAAGCAACAGGAAUUACAAUUGACUAAUUAAGAAAAGUUUUGUAUUGAAAAAUAAACCAAUAAUCAUCAUUCCAUGUUUUGUUCACCAAUUUUUAAUGUUAUAUAUCAUAUUUGAAAUAAUAAGUUUUUUGCUAGGAUUGCAGUUUAAGAAGGAUAAGCACUUCACAAAUAAUAGGCAAGAGAACUGCAGUGCAAAAUUGUUCGGUUUGCUGCAAGACUAAUUAUUGUAAUUUAGACGCAUGUAGUGCAAAUAUGUCAGGUAGUAACAUGAAAUUUAUACUACAUAUCUUAUGUUAACCAAUAACCUCCAUUGUUAUAGUUAUAAUGUUUUAACGUUUCAUGUUUUUAAUAAAAUUUAUACUUUAUUUGCUAUAGUCUCCAUAGUCUUAAUUUAGAAGAACUGUAUUAUAUAAACAUACUUAAGGGAAACAAGAAAUAAAUAUUGAAAAAAAAGAUUGAGAUUGGAUCGGCCUGAGCAGUUAAAUGCUGUGUUAUCACCACCGAUCAGAUCAACACGAUCAAGCACGAUCAAGCGAUCGGGUACCGGUCUAGCUCGGUCUCGGUCUGCAUGCGUGAUCGGGAGUGGUCUACCUUGGUCGGCAUGGCUCGGGCUUCCUACCCGAAUUUGUUUGACAUGUCAAAAAAAUUUGAGUAGCGAUCGAGUAGAUAAGCGGUCGAGAAGCGAUCAGUCUAGUUAAAAUCGUGUAUGACCGGCGUAUAGGUUUGGGUGAUUCAUUUUAGUCCAUUUUGUUAUUAUGUGAUAUUAAAUUAUUCGCUUUGAUUAACUAAAGGCAGGCGAUGGAAACAUAUUGUUAAUUGUAUAUAUCGCCGUAUAUAGGAACGGCAAUAAUUAUUUAUAAUUUUAAAAAAUGAACAUCCCUCGCACAUUGUAAGAUUUUUUGCCUGUGGACAUUACAAUGUUGUUGUUCGCAAAGUACGGACCUUUUAUUUCAAAUAUUUUUGACAGACACUUUGUCAAAACUAGUAUGUUUCGGACCAUUAUCUUUCGAUAUUAUGAUGCAACAAUUGACCUUUGAUCGCCGUUACAGGCAACGAAACUUCCCCUCACAGGAAAGCGCUAACAUACUAAUGUCCGGUUCUCUGUAUUUUUUUCUGAUAUUUCCCAAUAAUUGCGCCUAAAAAUUAGGUCAGCAAGUAUGCAUUGUAGUAUACAGAUGAAGAAGCAACUAUGAAAUAAAAUAGAGGAUAUUGAAUGAGUGUAAGUUCAAUAUUGAAUUUAUUGCACGAGUUGAAUAAAAUUAUAUUAUGUGAGUCUCUGGCGAGCAUAAUAUUAUUUUAUUCAACAAGUGCAAUCGAGCAUAAUAUUAUUUUAUUCAAUAAUUGCAAUGAAUUUAUUGCACGAGUUGAAUAAAAUUAUAUUAUGCGAGCCUUAUUAUUUUAUUCAACAAGUGCAAUAAAUUCAGUUAUGAACUUACACGAAUUUAAUAUUCUAUUUAUCAUAUACCCAAAAUCAAGACUGUUUAAAGUAAAAGAAGAGUCAUUUUUCAUUGACGCGCCUAUGGUACCCGAGUUCCAUUUCGAUGUUCUUUUAAAUUAUUAGGAUGAUAUUUUAUACUUUAUCACUCUGAAAUAGACGAAAUGUAUUAUUGCAAAAUCUGCACUGACCAGUAUUGCUGUUAAGCCAGCUUCCCCCUCUCUCUCUAUAUAUAUGAAGCCCCAAAAGGGAUAUGCGGUUGAUGAAAUUACUUUAUAUUCCAGCAGAUAAAGCAAUCUCACAAGACUAACUGUAAGUUCGCAAAAUUUCGUCUAUCAAUUUUAUUUAUUUAAUUUUAUAAUUUAUAAUGAAGCAUUACAAAAAGGUGAGUUGUUCCCAUAUUAAAAAACUUUAUAUAUUUGUUUUAAUUCCUUACAGAUCAUUUUGGUUGGACAGAUUGGGGGUCUUAUUCUGGUUGUUCUCAAACAUGCAGUUUUGGCACAAAGACACGGACAAGGGAAUGUUAUCAUCGUCUUGGUAUAAGCAUGAAUAAGACAUGUGUUGGAAAUGCAACCGAGCAACAACAAUGCUACAUAAUAAUGAACUGUCCUCCAGUGAAUGGAGGAUGGUGCUAUUCUUUUAAGUAUCCUCUCUGUAGUGGCUACAAUGCUGCAAGGGCUGGCGCUUGUAAAAACCCAUAUUUAAUCAACUUGGGAUGUGGUUGUCCGCCACCACAAUACGGCGGUUCACCUUGUCGAUGAUGUAGAACAUAAAGAUUGGCAUUAAAUAUAUUUUAUCACACUA
This is a long non-coding RNA of Ruditapes philippinarum (Manila clam), 2287 nucleotides long. RefSeq lists it as uncharacterized. The record is from RefSeq and is a predicted model, not a curated record. NCBI's taxonomy places the organism in Eukaryota, Metazoa, Mollusca, Bivalvia, Venerida, Veneridae. The transcript is spliced from 2 exons.